GAUGAACGCUGGCGGCGUGCCUAAUGCAUGCAAGUCGAGCGAACAGACGAGGAGCUUGCUCCUCUGACGUUAGCGGCGGACGGGUGAGUAACACGUGGAUAACCUACCUAUAAGACUGGGAUAACUUCGGGAAACCGGAGCUAAUACCGGAUAACAUGUUGAACCGCAUGGUUCAACAGUGAAAGACGGUCUUGCUGUCACUUAUAGAUGGAUCCGCGCCGCAUUAGCUAGUUGGUAAGGUAACGGCUUACCAAGGCAACGAUGCGUAGCCGACCUGAGAGGGUGAUCGGCCACACUGGAACUGAGACACGGUCCAGACUCCUACGGGAGGCAGCAGUAGGGAAUCUUCCGCAAUGGGCGAAAGCCUGACGGAGCAACGCCGCGUGAGUGAAGAAGGUCUUCGGAUCGUAAAACUCUGUUAUUAGGGAAGAACAAAUGUGUAAGUAACUAUGCACGUCUUGACGGUACCUAAUCAGAAAGCCACGGCUAACUACGUG
RNAcentral lists this ribosomal RNA (497 nucleotides) under uncultured bacterium. RNAcentral's name for it is "partial 16S ribosomal RNA". It matches the Rfam family "Bacterial small subunit ribosomal RNA", at positions 28 to 507 of the family's 1533-position model. The record is from RNAcentral.